Molecule: unclassified non-coding RNA, 396 nt
Filed under: soil metagenome
Description: partial contains 5.8S ribosomal RNA, internal transcribed spacer 2, and large subunit ribosomal RNA
Rfam family: 5.8S ribosomal RNA (bases 1-121)
Source: RNAcentral
GAUGAAGAACGUAGUGAACGUGCGAAACGUAAUGUGAAUUGCAGAAUUCAGUGAAUCAUCGAAUCUUUGAACGCAUCUUGCGCUCCUUGGUAUUCCGAGGAGCAUGCCUGUUUGAGUGUCGUGAAUACUCUCAACUUCAACCCUUUUUUCGGAAAGGGAGGAAGGUUGGACUUGGGUGUUUGUUGAAGUGCGAGCUUCGACUCAUCCUAAAUGCAUUAGCGAUCUGCCUCGAUCACACACAAUGUGAUAAUUAAAACUAAAGCAUUGUUUAAUGAUCAAGUCGAGACUGCUUCUAACUGUCGCAAGACAAUAACGUGCAUACAUUUGUGCAUGUCAUUUGACCUCAAAUCAGGUAGGACUACCCGCUGAACUUAAGCAUAUCAAUAAGCGGAAGGA